UCUGCUAUGUUGAUAUGAUCAGGAGACUGAACAUGCAGGCCCUGGUAAAUCUGCUCUGAACUGAUCGCACUUAUCACAGCUGUAGAUUUACAAACAGCAGUUCAUGCAGCUAGGAGGAACAGUUUAUUCAACAUCGAACUUCCGGCCCCUGAUCAUUUCAAUAAUAUACUUAGUUAAGGCUAUUACUGAAACCCAGGUCUGGGUGCAGGGUUAGUGCGAGUUUCAUGCCACUAGAAGACCUUGGAUCACAUGUCUUUCAAUACAAGUGAACGAGAGCUGCCACCGACUGACGUUAAUCAGGCCGCGCUGUAUUUAUAGACACACUCCUUGGCAAACGCAAUUGCAACACUUUUCUAUUUGACAGGUCAAUAGAGUACACCCCCUCCCUGUCUUCAAUGAUUUACAAAGGUUUCGCAACGACAAUAGCACAGCACUGCCUGCCACUUAAUAUCCACAAACGGGUUUUCUUCCACAGCUCAAAAGAAGACAAUGCGAUCCAGAACAAAUACACUAUCACAGGACAGCUAGAAUAGAAUAAUCUGCAUCCCCUGAAAGGUGUACAUUUCCUACACGGUUUUCUAGACAUCACUGAGCUUACAAUGCCUCCACAAUGUUGAUCCAACUGUAAUGCAGCGACAGGCUGAUUACUCAAAGAGGAGAAGAAUGCUUCUUGGAGAGACAGUAACUUGCAUCUGAUGAGCAAGAUAUGAAAACCAUAAACCCCGCCCCCAGACCUGCUCAGCUCCGAGACAGAUUCGGGUGUCUUGCGAGGCCAGAGAUUCACGGUUUGGUUCUCUCUCGGCCAGUGGAGAGCCACCCGUACCGCGAGGGCCCCAGGGCUUCACGGCUCGGCUGUGCUGGUGGAAAGGAAUAUUAGAGUACCCCAGUUUCAGCGGACAACAGGACAGCACAGAGUGUGUUCAGUGGAGUUCUAACUGGGAAGAGACUCUAGUAGGUCAGCAAGAAUAGCCGGGGGGACACUUAAAGGUGCGGACCAACAUGGAGAGGGAUGAUCUACAGUGUUGCACCUUUACAGAUGUCAAACGACUACACUAAAACCGGAAGUCAUUCUCCCCCUCCUCCAAGAGUCUCGCCAGCGGCCCAAAACAGAACGCUCCGCCAACCAAUGGGAUCUGCCAGGGGGCGGGGCAGCAGCGGGGAGCGCCAGUCGAAUGGACGAGAAGGCUGG
Acipenser ruthenus (sterlet) is the source of this 1189-nucleotide long non-coding RNA. RefSeq lists it as uncharacterized. Lineage: Eukaryota; Metazoa; Chordata; Actinopteri; Acipenseriformes; Acipenseridae. The record is from RefSeq and is a predicted model, not a curated record. The transcript is spliced from 3 exons.